AACAAGGCGUACCUGCGGACCUGCGGAGGGAUCAUUACCGAGUUAUACAACUCAUCAACCCCUGUGAACUUACCUACAACGUUGCUUCGGCGGGAACAGACGGCCCCGUAAAACGGGCCGCCCCCGCCAGAGGACCCCUAACUCUGUUUUUAUAAUGUUUUUCUGAGUAAACAAGCAAAUAAAUUAAAACUUUCAACAACGGAUCU
RNAcentral lists this unclassified non-coding RNA (206 nucleotides) under soil metagenome. RNAcentral describes it as "partial contains 5.8S ribosomal RNA, internal transcribed spacer 2, and large subunit ribosomal RNA". The record is from RNAcentral.